Molecule: ribosomal RNA, 468 nt
Filed under: uncultured bacterium
Lineage: Bacteria
Description: partial 16S ribosomal RNA
Rfam family: Bacterial small subunit ribosomal RNA
Source: RNAcentral
GACGAACGCUGGCGGCGUGCUUAACACAUGCAAGUCGAACGGAAAGGCCCUGCUUUUGUGGGGUGCUCGAGUGGCGAACGGGUGAGUAACACGUGAGUAACCUGCCCUUGACUUUGGGAUAACUUCAGGAAACUGGGGCUAAUACCGGAUAGGAGCUCCUGCUGCAUGGUGGGGGUUGGAAAGUUUCGGCGGUUGGGGAUGGACUCGCGGCUUAUCAGCUUGUUGGUGGGGUAGUGGCUUACCAAGGCUUUGACGGGUAGCCGGCCUGAGAGGGUGACCGGCCACAUUGGGCCUGAGAUAGGGCGCAGACUGCUACGGGAGGCAGCAGUGGGGAAUAUUGCACAAUGGGCGGAAGCCUGAUGCAGCAACGCCGCGUGCGGGAUGACGGCCUUCGGGUUGUAAACCGCUUUCGCCUGUGACGAAGCGUGAGUGACGGUAAUGGGUAAAGAAGCACCGGCUAACUACGUG